GGGUGCUAUACUGCAGUCGACGAACUCUGGUAUUGAUUGGUGCUUGCAUCAUGAUUUACAUUUGAGUGAGUGGCGAACUGGUGAGUAACACGUGGGAAACCUGCCCAGAAGCGGGGGAUAACACCUGGAAACAGAUGCUAAUACCGCAUAACAACUUGGACCGCAUGGUCCGAGUUUGAAAGAUGGCUUCGGCUAUCACUUUUGGAUGGUCCCGCGGCGUAUUAGCUAGAUGGUGAGGUAACGGCUCACCAUGGCAAUGAUACGUAGCCGACCUGAGAGGGUAAUCGGCCACAUUGGGACUGAGACACGGCCCAAACUCCUACGGGAGGCAGCAGUAGGGAAUCUUCCACAAUGGACGAAAGUCUGAUGGAGCAACGCCGCGUGAGUGAAGAAGGGUUUCGGCUCGUAAAACUCUGUUGUUAAAGAAGAACAUAUCUGAGAGUAACUGUUCAGGUAUUGACGGUAUUUAACCAGAAAGCCACGGCUAACUACGUGCCAGCAGCCGCGGUAAUACGUAGGUGGCAAGCGUUGUCCGGAUUUAUUGGGCGUAAAGCGAGCGCAGGCGGUUUUUUAAGUCUGAUGUGAAAGCCUUCGGCUCAACCGAAGAAGUGCAUCGGAAACUGGGAAACUUGAGUGCAGAAGAGGACAGUGGAACUCCAUGUGUAGCGGUGAAAUGCGUAGAUAUAUGGAAGAACACCAGUGGCGAAGGCGGCUGUCUGGUCUGUAACUGACGCUGAGGCUCGAAAGUAUGGGUAGCAAACAGGAUUAGAUACCCUGGUAGUCCAUACCGUAAACGAUGAAUGCUAAGUGUUGGAGGGUUUCCGCCCUUCAGUGCUGCAGCUAACGCAUUAAGCAUUCCGCCUGGGGAGUACGGCCGCAAGGCUGAAACUCAAAGGAAUUGACGGGGGCCCGCACAAGCGGUGGAGCAUGUGGUUUAAUUCGAAGCUACGCGAAGAACCUUACCAGGUCUUGACAUACUAUGCAAAUCUAAGAGAUUAGACGUUCCCUUCGGGGACAUGGAUACAGGUGGUGCAUGGUUGUCGUCAGCUCGUGUCGUGAGAUGUUGGGUUAAGUCCCGCAACGAGCGCAACCCUUAUUAUCAGUUGCCAGCAUUAAGUUGGGCACUCUGGUGAGACUGCCGGUGACAAACCGGAGGAAGGUGGGGAUGACGUCAAAUCAUCAUGCCCCUUAUGACCUGGGCUACACACGUGCUACAAUGGAUGGUACAACGAGUUGCGAACUCGCGAGAGUAAGCUAAUCUCUUAAAGCCAUUCUCAGUUCGGAUUGUAGGCUGCAACUCGCCUACAUGAAGUCGGAAUCGCUAGUAAUCGCGGAUCAGCAUGCCGCGGUGAAUACGUUCCCGGGCCUUGUACACACCGCCCGUCACACCAUGAGAGUUUGUAACACCCAAAGUCGGUGGGGUAACCUUUUAGGAACCAGCCCGACG
This 1447-nucleotide ribosomal RNA is filed under the name Lactiplantibacillus plantarum. RNAcentral describes it as "bacterial SSU rRNA". It matches the Rfam family "Bacterial small subunit ribosomal RNA". The record is from RNAcentral. Lineage: Bacteria; Bacillati; Bacillota; Bacilli; Lactobacillales; Lactobacillaceae.